RNAcentral lists this ribosomal RNA (281 nucleotides) under Myxococcales bacterium. RNAcentral describes it as "partial 23S ribosomal RNA". It matches the Rfam family "Bacterial large subunit ribosomal RNA", at positions 2647 to 2925 of the family's 2925-position model. Lineage: Bacteria; Pseudomonadati; Myxococcota; Myxococcia; Myxococcales. The record is from RNAcentral.
GUGGGCGUUGGAUACUUGAGAGGAGCUAACCAUAGUACGAGAGGACCUGGUUGGACGUACCUCUGGUGAGCCGGUUGUCGCGCCAGCGGCAUCGCCGGGUAGCUAGGUACGGAACGGAUAACCGCUGAAAGCAUCUAAGCGGGAAGCCGGCCUCGAGAUGAGGCGUCCCGGGCCGCAAGGCCCCUGAAGGCCCCUUGAAGACUACAAGGUGAUAGGCCAGGUGUGGAAGCACAGCAAUGUGUGGAGCUAACUGGUACUAAUCGGCCGUGAGGCUUGACCUA